Molecule: ribosomal RNA, 254 nt
Filed under: uncultured prokaryote
Description: partial 16S ribosomal RNA
Rfam family: Bacterial small subunit ribosomal RNA
Source: RNAcentral
AAUACGAAGGGGGCUAGCGUUGUUCGGAAUCACUGGGCGUAAAGAGUACGUAGGCGGAUUGUUAAGUCAGGGGUGAAAUCCCGAGGCUCAACCUCGGAACUGCCUUUGAUACUGGCAAUCUUGAGUCCGGGAGAGGUGAGUGGAACUCCUAGUGUAGAGGUGAAAUUCGUAGAUAUUAGGAAGAACACCAGUGGCGAAGGCGGCUCACUGGCCCGGAACUGACGCUGAGGUACGAAAGCGUGGGAAGCAAACAG